Molecule: ribosomal RNA, 492 nt
Filed under: uncultured bacterium
Lineage: Bacteria
Description: partial 16S ribosomal RNA
Rfam family: Bacterial small subunit ribosomal RNA
Source: RNAcentral
AGUGAACGCUGGCGGUAGGCCUAACACAUGCAAGUCGAACGGCAGCCCAGUAAGAGCUUGCUCUUACGGGUGGCGAGUGGCGGACGGGUGAGGAAUACAUCGGAAUCUACUUUUUCGUGGGGGAUAACGUAGGGAAACUUACGCUAAUACCGCAUACGACCUACGGGUGAAAGCAGGGGAUCUUCGGACCUUGCGCGAUUGAAUGAGCCGAUGUCGGAUUAGCUAGUUGGCGGGGUAAAGGCCCACCAAGGCGACGAUCCGUAGCUGGUCUGAGGGGAUGGAUCAGCCACACGGGAAUGAAGAGACGGCCCGGAUCCUAGAGGGGGGCAGCAGUGGGAAAAUUGGGAAAAGGGGGGAAAGCUGGACCAAGCCAUGCGGCGUGGGGGAGGAAGGCCUCGGGGUGGAAAACCCCUUUGGUGGGGAAAAAAAAGCGCAGGGUUAAAGCCCCCUGGUCUGACGGUACCCAAAGAAUAAGCCCCGGCUAACUUCGUG